GAUGAACGCUGGCUACAGGCUUAACACAUGCAAGUCGAGGGGAAACGACGGGGAAGCUUGCUUCCCCGGGCGUCGACCGGCGCACGGGUGAGUAACGCGUAUCCAACCUGCCUCUGACUGAGGGAUAACCCGUCGAAAGUCGGCCUAAUACCUCAUGGCAUCGUCUGCGGGCAUCCAACGACGAUUAAAGAUUUCAUCGGUCAGGGAUGGGGAUGCGUCUGAUUAGCUUGUUGGCGGGAUAACGGCCCACCAAGGCUACGAUCAGUAGGGGUUCUGAGAGGAAGGUCCCCGACAUUGGAACUGAGACACGGUCCAAACUCGUACGGGAGGCAGCAGUGAGGAAUAUUGGUAAAUGGGCGGGAGCCUGAACCAGCCAAGUAGCGUGCAGGAGGACGGCCCUAUGGGUUGUAAACUGCUUUUAGGCGGGGAUAAAGUGAGGGACGUGUCCUUCAUUGCAGGUACCGCAUGAAUAAGGACCGGCUAAUUCCGUG
RNAcentral lists this ribosomal RNA (491 nucleotides) under uncultured bacterium. RNAcentral describes it as "partial 16S ribosomal RNA". It matches the Rfam family "Bacterial small subunit ribosomal RNA", at positions 28 to 507 of the family's 1533-position model. The record is from RNAcentral.